This 253-nucleotide ribosomal RNA is filed under the name uncultured bacterium. RNAcentral's name for it is "partial 16S ribosomal RNA". It matches the Rfam family "Bacterial small subunit ribosomal RNA", at positions 524 to 776 of the family's 1533-position model. The record is from RNAcentral.
UACGUAGGGUGCGAGCGUUAAUCGGAAUUACUGGGCGUAAAGCGUGCGCAGGCGGUUCGUUGUGUCGGCGGUGAAAGCCCCGGGCUUAACCUGGGAAUGGCCGUCGAAACUGGCGAACUGGAGUGUGGCAGGGGGGGGUGGAAUUCCGCGUGUAGCAGUGAAAUGCGUAGAGAUGCGGAGGAACACCGAUGGCGAAGGCAGCUCGCUGGGACGGUACUGACGCUGAGGCGCGAAAGCGUGGGGAGCAAACAGG